GACGAACGCUGGCGGCGUGCCUAAUACAUGCAAGUCGAGCGAAUCAAUAGGAGCUUGCUCCUGUUGGUUAGCGGCGGACGGGUGAGUAACACGUGGGCAACCUGCCUGUAGGACUGGGAUAACACCGGGAAACCGGUGCUAAUACCGGAUAAUCCUUUUCCUCUCAUGAGGAAAAGUUGAAAGUCGGUUUCGGCUGACACUUACAGCUGGGCCGGCGGCGCAUUAGCUAGUUGGUGAGGUAACGGCACACCAAGGCGACGAUGCGUAGCCGACCUGAGAGGGCGAUCGGCCACACUGGGACUGAGACACGGCCCAGACUCCUACGGGAGGCAGCAGUAGGGAAUCCUCCACAAUGGACGAAAGUCUGAUGGAGCAACGCCGCGUGAGCGAUGAAGGCCUUCGGGUCAUAAAGCUCUGUUGUUAGGGAAGAACAAGUAUCGGAGUAACUGCCGGUACCUUGACGGUACCUAACCAGAAAACCACGGCUAACUACGUGCCAACCGCCGCCGUAA
This 512-nucleotide ribosomal RNA is filed under the name uncultured bacterium. Its description in RNAcentral is "partial 16S ribosomal RNA". It matches the Rfam family "Bacterial small subunit ribosomal RNA", at positions 28 to 523 of the family's 1533-position model. The record is from RNAcentral.